CCCUGGUAGUCCACGCCCUAAACGAUGUACACUAGUUGUUGGGGUGCUAGUCAUCUCAGUAAUGCAGCUAACGCAUUAAGUGUACCGCCUGGGGAGUACGGUCGCAAGAUUAAAACUCAAAGGAAUAGACGGGGACCCGCACAAGCGGUGGAGCAUGUGGUUUAAUUCGAAGAUACGCGAAGAACCUUACCUGGGCUUGAUAUCCUAAGAACCUUUUAGAGAUAAGAGGGUGCUAGCUUGCUAGAACUUAGAGACAGGUGCUGCACGGCUGUCGUCAGCUCGUGUCGUGAGAUGUUGGGUUAAGUCCCGCAACGAGCGCAACCCACGUAUUUAGUUGCUAACGGUUCGGCCGAGCACUCUAAAUAGACUGCCUUCGUAAGGAGGAGGAAGGUGUGGACGACGUCAAGUCAUCAUGGCCCUUAUGCCCAGGGCGACACACGUGCUACAAUGGCAUAUACAAUGAGACGCAAUACCGCGAGGUGGAGCAAAUCUAUAAAAUAUGUCCCAGUUCGGAUUGUUCUCUGCAACUCGAGAGCAUGAAGCCGGAAUCGCUAGUAAUCGUAGAUCAGCCAUGCUACGGUGAAUACGUUCCCGGGUCUUGUACUCACCGCCCGUCACACCAUGGGAGUUGAUUUCACUCGAAGCCGGAAUACUAAACUAGUUACCGUCCACAGUGGAAUCAGCGACUGGGGUGAAGUCGUAACAAGGUAACCGUAGGAGAACCUGCGGUUGGAUCACCUCCUUUCUA
This 748-nucleotide ribosomal RNA is filed under the name Campylobacter jejuni. RNAcentral's name for it is "bacterial SSU rRNA". It matches the Rfam family "Bacterial small subunit ribosomal RNA", at positions 785 to 1533 of the family's 1533-position model. The record is from RNAcentral. Lineage: Bacteria; Pseudomonadati; Campylobacterota; Epsilonproteobacteria; Campylobacterales; Campylobacteraceae.